RNAcentral lists this ribosomal RNA (344 nucleotides) under uncultured bacterium. Its description in RNAcentral is "partial 16S ribosomal RNA". It matches the Rfam family "Bacterial small subunit ribosomal RNA", at positions 338 to 699 of the family's 1533-position model. The record is from RNAcentral.
CCUACGGGUGGCAGCAGUAGGGAAUAUUGCUCAAUGGGGGAAACCCUGAAGCAGCAACGCCGCGUGGAGGAUGACGGUUUUAGGAUUGGAAACUCUCUUUGUGAGGGAAGCUAAUGACGGUAUCUCACGACUAAGCACCGGCUCACUCCGUGCCAGCAGCCGCGGUAAUACGGAGGGUGCAAGCGUUACUCGGAAUGAAUGGGCGGAAAGCGUGCGCAGGCGGGCUUGUAAGUAAGGUGUGAAAUGCUGUAGCUUAAACACAGAACUGCCUUUGAAACUAGGAUGCGAGAGUGUGGGAGAGGUAUGUGGAAUGCGUGGUGUAGGGGUAAAAUCCAUAGAUAUCA